GAUGAAGAACGUAGCGAAAUGCGAUAAGUAAUGUGAAUUGCAGAAUUCAGUGAAUCAUCGAAUCUUUGAACGCACAUUGCGCCCUUUGGCAUUCCGAAGGGCACACCUGUCCGAGCGCCGUCGCACAACUGAGGCGCAGCCUUGCGUUGGCGGGCGACUUGUGAGUAGCGAGUCGCCGCCCAAACGAGACGGCGCCGCGCCGCGACCGACGAAGCACGAAAGCGGAAGUCGACGCGGAGGCGGUUGCCUGUAGGAAGACACAGCUUGGCCUCGGAUCAGGUGGGGAUACCCGCUGAACUUAAGCAUAUCAAUAAGCGGAGGA
Molecule: unclassified non-coding RNA, 322 nt
Filed under: soil metagenome
Description: partial contains 5.8S ribosomal RNA, internal transcribed spacer 2, and large subunit ribosomal RNA
Rfam family: 5.8S ribosomal RNA (bases 1-120)
Source: RNAcentral